CCUACGGGUGGCAGCAGUGGGGGAUAUUGCACAAUGGGGGAAACCCUGAUGCAGCAACGCCGCGUGAGUGAAGAAGUUUUUCGGAACGUAAAGCUCUGUCGUCAGAGAAGAAAAUGACGGUAACUGACGAUGAAGGUCCCGACAACUACGGGCCAGCAGCCGCGGUAAUACGUAGGGGGCAAGCGUUGUCCGGAUUUACUGGGUGUAAAGGGAGCGUAGGCGGGUGUGCAAGUCAGGAGUGAAAUCCCUGGGCUUAACCCGGGGACUGCUUUUGAAACUGGACGGCUUGAGUGCAGGAGAGGCAGGCGGAAUUCCGGGUGUAGCGGUGAAAUGCGUAGAUAUCAGGAGGAACACCAGUGGCGAAGGCGGCCUGCUGGACUGUAACUGACGCUGAGGCUCGAAAGCGUGGGUAGCAAACAGGAUUAGAUACCCUUGUAGUC
This 440-nucleotide ribosomal RNA is filed under the name uncultured bacterium. RNAcentral's name for it is "partial 16S ribosomal RNA". It matches the Rfam family "Bacterial small subunit ribosomal RNA", at positions 338 to 795 of the family's 1533-position model. The record is from RNAcentral.